UACGUAGGGGGCAAGCGUUGUCCGGAAUCAUUGGGCGUAAAGAGCGUGUAGGCGGCCCGGUAAGUCCGUUGUGAAAGUCCAGGGCUCAACCCUGGAAUGCCGAUGGAUACUGCCGGGCUAGAGUUCGGAAGAGGCGAGUGGAAUUCCUGGUGUAGCGGUGAAAUGCGCAGAUAUCAGGAAGAACACCCGUGGCUAAGGCGGCUCUCUAGUACGGUACUGACGCUGAGACGCGAAAGCGUGGGGAGCGAACAGG
RNAcentral lists this ribosomal RNA (253 nucleotides) under uncultured bacterium. RNAcentral's name for it is "partial 16S ribosomal RNA". It matches the Rfam family "Bacterial small subunit ribosomal RNA", at positions 524 to 776 of the family's 1533-position model. The record is from RNAcentral.